UUGUUUCCCUCACUAACUCCUCCUCCCAGAAACGAUACAGAGAAGAUUAGGUUGGUCCUCCAUCAUUCGAAUCCUCUCGAAACGAUCCCAAAUGAACGAAAAGCUUACAAAGAAUUUGUAGCAUGGCCCCUGCACUAAGGAUGACACGCUUAUCAAAGAGAAGCUAAACAUUUUU
This 175-nucleotide small nuclear RNA is filed under the name Pochonia chlamydosporia 170. Lineage: Eukaryota; Fungi; Ascomycota; Sordariomycetes; Hypocreales; Clavicipitaceae. The record is from RNAcentral.